CCGGGAAACACUUUGGUGUUGGUUUCUCGAUCCGAGUCUGAGCAGAUUGCCACUCCUGGGCAAGGAAGAUCGCCUGAGUUAGAGUUUCUUGAGGAGGAUCAUGGCGAUGAUCGAAGAUCUGUUGGUUUCGGGCCACCCAGAUUUUCCAUAGAAUCCAGGGAUGAAGAGGGCCAAGGCCGAUGCCCGUUGGUGUGCCCACACUUGUUUUGCAAAAUUGCAGGUGAAAAAGAGAUGUAGAGUGCUUUCAAUUUCUCCACAGAAAGGGCAAUUAGCUGUCGCAUUGAUACCUCUGUGGCGUAAGUUUUCUCCAACUGAUUCCUCUCCAUCCAUGGGAAGAGGAGCUUGGGACAGAGCUGUCUAGGAAAGGAGUGGUAUGACAGUAUUUUCCCAAGAGUGUUCUGGCCAGCAGACAGGUUGGUUUUGUAAGGAUUCGCCAGCUAACUUUUGCAAGAAGAGCGUCAUUAAAGCUUUGAAGAUCUCUGAAUCCUAGCCCGCCUUCUCCUUUUGCUUUGGUUGGCAUGGCGGCCAAAACAGAUUUUAACAUGGUGACCUUUCCUGCUGUAGACAGAAAACGUGAAGACCAGCUGCAAGCACGUUGACGGAUCCUGUCUACUAUUAAGAAGGAGUUUUUGCAGAAAAUGUGAUGGCUGACUUCAGAGGAUUGAUCAUCUGACCAGAAGCAAGCUCAUACUUCUUCAGAAUCUCCAAUAAAGUGUCGUAGUUUUGAUUAUCUGAUUUACAGAAGAACAUGGUAUCAUCUGCAAAUAAUAGGUGGCUGAUCCGUGGACUCUUUUUCCCAACUUUGAUUCCUGUGAGUUUAUUUUCCAUUUGUGCUUUGUUGCAGAGUCCCGGGAGCACUUCACUGCAGAGGAUGAACAGGUAUGGAGAAAGAGGAUCUCCUUGGCGUAUUCCUCUCUGUGGAAGGACUGAGCCUUGAGCUAUCCCAUUCAGCAGGUAUGAAUAGUUAACUGUGGUCACACAU
Arabidopsis lyrata subsp. lyrata is the source of this 982-nucleotide long non-coding RNA. RefSeq lists it as uncharacterized. The record is from RefSeq and is a predicted model, not a curated record. NCBI's taxonomy places the organism in Eukaryota, Viridiplantae, Streptophyta, Magnoliopsida, Brassicales, Brassicaceae. The transcript has 5 exons.